GAUGAAGAACGCAGCGAACUGCGAUAAGUAAUGUGAAUUGCAGAAUUCAGUGAAUCAUCGAGUCUUUGAACGCACAUUGCGCCCCCUGGCAUUCCGGGGGGCAUGCCUGUCCGAGCGUCAUUGCUGCCCUUCAAGCCCGGCUUGUGUGUUGGGUCGUCGUCCCCCCCGGGGGACGGGCCCGAAAGGCAGCGGCGGCACCGCGUCCGGUCCUCGAGCGUAUGGGGCUUUGUCACCCGCUCGAUUAGGGCCGGCCGGGCGCCAGCCGGCGUCUCCAACCUUCUAUUUUACCAGGUUGACCUCGGAUCAGGCAGGGAUACCCGCUGAACUUAAGCAUAUCAAUAAGCGGAGGA
This 350-nucleotide unclassified non-coding RNA is filed under the name soil metagenome. RNAcentral's name for it is "partial contains 5.8S ribosomal RNA, internal transcribed spacer 2, and large subunit ribosomal RNA". The stretch from base 1 to 120 matches the Rfam family "5.8S ribosomal RNA", at positions 35 to 154 of the family's 154-position model. The record is from RNAcentral.